This 270-nucleotide ribosomal RNA is filed under the name uncultured archaeon. RNAcentral describes it as "partial 16S ribosomal RNA". It matches the Rfam family "Archaeal small subunit ribosomal RNA", at positions 477 to 747 of the family's 1478-position model. The record is from RNAcentral.
CAGCACCUCAAGUGGUCAGGAUGAUUAUUGGGCCUAAAGCAUCCGUAGCCGGCGCUGUAAGUUUUCGGUUAAAUCUGUACGCUCAACGUACAGGCUGCCGGGAAUACUGCAGCGCUAGGGAGUGGGAGAGGUAGACGGUACUCGGUAGGAAGGGGUAAAAUCCUUUGAUCUAUUGAUGACCACCUGUGGCGAAGGCGGUCUACCAGAACCCGUCCGACGGUGAGGGAUGAAAGCUGGGGGAGCAAACCGGAUUAGAUACCCGAGUAGUCC